UUUAAAGUCUAAUUUGCCCUAUGAGGAGUUAAAUGGCCGCGGUAUUUUGACCGUGCAAAGGUAGCAUAAUAAUUAGUUUUUUAAUUGAAAGCUAGCAUGAAUGAUUGGACGAGAAAAUAGCUGUCUCAAUUUAAUUUUAUUAGAAUUUUAUUUUUAAGUAAAAAAGCUUAAAUAUAAUUAAAAGACGAGAAGACCCUAUAGAGUUUUAUAAUUAAUAUAUUAUAAAUUUUUAAGAAUUUUUUUAUUUAUAUUAAAUUAAUUAUUUUAUUGGGGCGAUAGAAAAAUUUAAUUAACUUUUUUUUUAAAAAUUAUAACAUUAAUUUAUGAUUGAUUGAUCCAUUUUUUAUGAUUAUAAGAUUAAGUUACCUUAGGGAUAACAGCGUAAUUUUUUUUUAGAGUUCUUAUCGAAAGAAAAGAUUGCGACCUCGAUGUUGGAUUAAAAUUUAUAUUUGGUGUAGGAGCUAAGUAAUUAGGUCUGUUCGACCUUUAAAAUUUUACA
This 499-nucleotide ribosomal RNA is filed under the name Microserica sp. 836958. Its description in RNAcentral is "partial 16S large subunit ribosomal RNA". The stretch from base 373 to 499 matches the Rfam family "Bacterial large subunit ribosomal RNA", at positions 2473 to 2600 of the family's 2925-position model. Lineage: Eukaryota; Metazoa; Arthropoda; Insecta; Coleoptera; Scarabaeidae. The record is from RNAcentral.